RNAcentral lists this ribosomal RNA (144 nucleotides) under Staphylococcus felis. Its description in RNAcentral is "partial 23S ribosomal RNA". It matches the Rfam family "Bacterial large subunit ribosomal RNA", at positions 1 to 143 of the family's 2925-position model. Lineage: Bacteria; Bacillati; Bacillota; Bacilli; Caryophanales; Staphylococcaceae. The record is from RNAcentral.
AGAUUAAGUUAUUAAGGGCGCACGGUGGAUGCCUUGGCACUAGAAGCCGAUGAAGGACGUUACUCACGACGAUAUGCUUUGGGAAGCUGUAAGUAAGCUUUGAUCCAGAGAUUUCCGAAUGGGGGAACCCAGCACGAGUUAUGU